This 42-nucleotide non-coding RNA is filed under the name chicken gut metagenome. Its description in RNAcentral is "ssnA RNA". It matches the Rfam family "ssnA RNA", at positions 2 to 43 of the family's 48-position model. The record is from RNAcentral.
GAAAGACGGCUGUAACGGAGUGCUUCGCGCACGGGCUGGAGG